CUGCUAGUUGAUUCACUUACUCACCCACUAACAUUGAGCUCCUUUUCACUGUCUGUGGGCAAGGGGAAAAAAAAGGGGGGGGAAGGAAGAAAAAAGAAAGCAGGGGAAGAAGGAAGAAAGGAGGGGAAUAAACAAAAUUAUAUAUUUAAAAAUACCCGAGUAGAGCUGCAAAUCAGUUGGGAAAGAGGAUUUUGCCUGCCUUCUUCCUUAUUAUUUUGCUGCUGCAAGGCUGCUUUGCAAUCCGUAGGAAAAUGGAUCUGGUUAUGUGAGGGCGCUGAGGAAACAGUCCCCAGCUACUGAGAGGAAGAAAGGCCGGUGGGAAAUACUCAGGUAGGAAAGCUGUGUAUGUCAUCCAGCAGUAAAAACACUUGUGGGCCUUCGUUCCUUUUCCAGACACUGUGUCGUGUUUGAUGCUUGAAUGGCUGAUCUGGUCACUAUCAUAGUUUAUUUGUUGUUUUAAGAAGCAGCCCUGUUUGGUCAAUUGAUUGCAACAACAAAACACUGCAAGCAAAGCCCUCAGCAUAAACAUUCCUCAGGCUAUCCCCGGUACAGUAUUGAUCCUGAUACGGAAUACAAACAAAUUACUCUGUGUGUGCGCCAUUCCAGCUAUAAAACAGAGCAAUAAUAUGUUCUACUUGCUGCCAAUAAAUGUGCA
This 655-nucleotide long non-coding RNA is filed under the name Junco hyemalis (dark-eyed junco). Its description in RNAcentral is "lncRNA (ENSJHYG00000008581.1)". Lineage: Eukaryota; Metazoa; Chordata; Aves; Passeriformes; Passerellidae. The record is from RNAcentral.